UGCCCAGGAAUUCCUAUCCCUACCUCCUCGUGAUACUGACCGGGGUACGAGUAACCUUAGGGAAGAUCGGGUAACCGACUCUGGUGGAAACUUUGGUCGUAUGCUGACAGAGAAGU
Molecule: non-coding RNA, 116 nt
Organism: Aedes aegypti (yellow fever mosquito)
Lineage: Eukaryota; Metazoa; Arthropoda; Insecta; Diptera; Culicidae
Source: Rfam